This 384-nucleotide ribosomal RNA is filed under the name Triticum aestivum (bread wheat). Its description in RNAcentral is "partial small subunit ribosomal RNA". Lineage: Eukaryota; Viridiplantae; Streptophyta; Magnoliopsida; Poales; Poaceae. The record is from RNAcentral.
AUGGACCUCCUGCAAAUCGCCGGAACGCAAUUCCUCGACAGGGAAGUUUGUUUGCACCACUCUGGAUUAGUUUCAAACCCGGACGUCAAGGAACCGAACCCGACAGAGGGAGAGGUCAAGAUGAAUGUAGAUGGGGCAGCGGCCAUGUCCUCCAACAUGAGUGCUGUGGGCGUUGUGUGCCGCAGUGCAGCCGGGCUGUUUUUGGGUGCUUCUGCUGUGGUUUUUCAAGGGGUGACUGAACCGACGACUUUGGAAGCAUAUGCUUGCAGGGAGGCUCUCGCAUUAGCUAAGGAUUUGGUCAUGAACAAAGUGCGCAUUGCAUCUGACUGUCUGAGAGUCAUAAACAACCUAAGAGCUCGGUGCAUCUUGGCGAUUAUUGCAUGA